ACUCGUUAAUGGCAGUUGCAUGCGUUGCAUGGGUGUAAACGGACGGACGUACAGUCGGACAGACAGCUGCAGUGUCAUCAUCUUGCUCUGUGCGUCUUAUUGUACGGAACGAGCUUGAAGUGUCGGAAGUUCGAAAAGGAGCAAGUUGCUACUAUGCCUCAGCGAAAACUAACCAAAGUCACGUUACUAUUAAUGUUGCCUGUUUGGCCAAGAGAAUUCGCGAUGUAGCCUCUUAUACAGUCGAUCUCAUUGCAUUCGCGUUUAUUCCUCAUCCGAUGUACCGAGAAGUAUCGGGAGCAUUUCGUGCAACAUUUUCAAAGCCAAGUCGCAUGAAAUCUCCUGUUGUUGUUCUCGUAAAAACAUUUGUCUAUUGUCGUGUCACCCUCUGUCGUUAUUCUCGACCUUUUCAUCUACGUUCAUAUCUCCGUUGUCAUCAUUCUCAAGUGCCUUCUCUUUCCCUCUUUCACACUUUUAACUCACUAUUUUCUGAUUUCAACCACGCGAAAAGUCAGUGUAUGCAUCGAGUGACGUACUAAUAUAUUUGUUAUUUCGAUAUGAGGUGGAUGGCUCAUUCCAAAAUGCAUCGCAUUUAUUAGACAUCUUUAAAAUAAAUGGAUUUUUUUGCCAACUAAAAGGCAAAGUGUUCUUAUUUGAUACAUAGAAUAAAAGAAAAAGAUGUCCCAAUUAAGUAUUAGUACUGGGAAGAGAGGGAGGAGUGUUGCAAGCUCCUCCGCAUCUACUGUAUCAUCUCUAAGCAGCUCAACUGACUUAGCAAGCCUAUUUGAAUGUCCAGUUUGCUUUGAUUAUGUUCUUCCACCAAUCUUACAAUGCCAGAGUGGACAUCUUGUUUGUAGUAAUUGCAGACCAAAACUUAACUGCUGUCCUACCUGUAGAGGUCCAUUAGGUAAUAUCCGCAAUCUGGCAAUGGAAAAAGUGGCAGGUAACGUGAUGUUUCCUUGCAAAUAUUCAACAAGUGGAUGCACAGUGUCACUAGUGCAUACUGAAAAGGCAGAUCAUGAAGAUGCAUGUGAAUUCCGUCCAUACAGUUGUCCUUGUCCAGGAGCUUCUUGUAAAUGGCAAGGAUCUCUCGAACAAGUAAUGCCACAUCUUGUUAUGAGUCACAAAAGCAUUACAACUCUUCAAGGGGAAGACAUUGUUUUUUUAGCAACAGAUAUUAAUCUUCCUGGUGCAGUGGAUUGGGUAAUGAUGCAGUCUUGCUUUGGUCAUCAUUUUAUGCUAGUGCUUGAAAAACAAGAAAAGUAUGAUGGACAUCAACAAUUUUUUGCAAUUGUUCAAUUGAUUGGUUCAAGAAAACAAGCAGAAAACUUUGCUUACAGACUAGAAUUGAAUGGGCAUAAAAGGCGCCUAACAUGGGAAGCUAUGCCGCGUUCUAUUCACGAAGGUGUUUCAUCUGCAAUUUUAAAUUCAGACUGCCUUGUAUUCGACACCUCCAUCGCGCAAUUAUUUGCCGAUAAUGGAAAUCUAGGAAUUAAUGUUACAAUUUCUAUGGCAUGAGGAAAGCUGGAAAAAGCAGUGAAAUCUAACUUACGCUAAUACACAGUGCAUUGAAUUAUUUCUUCUGGUGAGCAUUACAAAGAUUGAUAACAUUAUUCCAUCUACUUUAAUUUUAUGAAGAAAAAGUAUUAGAGUAUAUGUAUCAGCAAUAUAUACGGGAACACGAAAGUAGUUGGUAUACGAUAAACAGGUGCAAAAUAAUAGAAUAAAAUUGCGCAAUUUCAUCCUUUUUUACUGACAUAAAAAUGAACAAACUUAUAUAAGGAGAAAUUAUAAUUUCAGGAAUACAUAGUUCCACUAAAUUGGUGCAUAGUAGUUUUAUAAAUAAUAAGUGACAUUGUAAAUAAUUUUCAAACUAUCGUCCGUAUAAAUUUUUCGAGUGUCAUGUAUCAAAUUUGAGGAAAUUCGAUGAUGAUUAUACAGGUAAACAAGGUUGAUUAACGUUUGUGCAUUAAGAACAAAAGAAAUUAAAAUUGCAUGAACUUGAUCCUAAUCAAAUUUGAGAUUCUCAGGUCAAAACCAAAAUGUGGAAGACAACCGUUUUUACAUCACCAUGAAUAAACGCAUAUAAAUUGCUUAACAUUCCAGAUAUAGGUGAAAAGUUAUUGUAAAUAGAACAAAUUUGACAUGUGUGAUAAAAUUAUUAAUUGGUAAUUAAAUUAACAUGUAAACAUGCAUAUGUAUGAAGUUCAAAGUUGAAUAUGGGAACCAACUGCAUGUUAUGCAUAUGUAUAAGUAUAUAUAAAUAUAUAAGCAUGACACACACACACACAUGAUAUAUAACUAUAUAAAAGUGUAUUUAUAUAUAUGUAUAUAUAUGCGCAUAUAAAACUUAUACAAUUACUUUUAAGUUUACAUAAGUGUAUUGCAAAAUGAAAUACUUAAUUUUGAUGGUUUUAAAGUUUCUGCAGUUUUGGCGGUUACUAAAAAAAAAAGACAUUCGAAUGUAACAUUCACGUUAAUUGUUAUACUAUCAGACGGUAUCAGAUUACCUCCCUCCCCUAUAGUCGUAAUGCAUCAAUGGAACCGCAUAUUUUGCACAUUUAGAUGUAAUUAAAAAUAUCUGUUGGAGAACUAUUAUAUUAAAAAGCUUGAUGAUAGAACUAGAACAGAACUGACCGGAUAAAAUAUUACUGAAAAACAAAGUACGCUAGUAAUUAAAUACGAUCUUAAAUACGGUCAAUAACGAUCGUUCCGAGUAUUAAAGUGCGAAUUUCGUUAAAAGAAUGAUAUAUGUAUCAUUAAGAUGUAUAUACAUAUAAUUUAAUGAUAUUAUUUAGAUAUUUAUAUAUAGAUAUAAAUCUAAAAUUCAUCACAAUGUAAGGUUUAAUUGUUCGUUAUAGCAAUUUAUUCUUACAGAUAACGAAGGUAUUAUACAUAUUUGUACCAAUACAAUCACUAAAAAUAGUUAAUUCACUCCUUAAUUGCAUAUGUUUUCGAAAUGUUGUAAAAAUAAGUUAAAUUCUUAAAUAACAUAUUCGCUAUAAAUAUUAAGCAUUAAUUAAUAUUGAAAUUUUUAUAAUGACUUAGUAAUUUUCAUUACGAUGUGAAAAAAGAAACAAUGUGUUGAAAGUAAUGUUACAUUAAGGAUUAAAUUAUAUGUAGACAUUGUAGACUUAUAUAUUAUAUUAUAAUCUGUAAUUUGGUUCUACAUACAACAUAAACUUUUAUGGACGACGAUUUUUUUAUAAUAUAACGAUAAAAUUUCUAUAUAUUCCCCUAAUUUUAAUUGGAUAAUUUAUUCUCAGUUACGUAUAAGAUUAUAAAUGAAUACUUCGAUAUUGGUAGUAUUAAAUAUGAUUAAAUAUAAUACUACAGAUCCUGUUCCUAAACGUCGAAUAAAUUUGUUAUUACAUUAAUAUUGUAUGUGAAAGUUUGUCAAGGUACCUCUUCCAUAUUUGUAUUAUAUAUAAGUUACGCAAUUUACCGCGUAUACGUUAAAUUAUUUGAGAAAACAAGACCUCAAAAUAAUUAUGUCAAAAUGCUCUUUAAAAUUUAUAAGUAGCACAAAAAAUUAUUAACAAUACACGCAUUCUAAUCUUUUUUUAUAAUAAAAAAAAAAAAUGAUGACUGUUAUACGUACUAUCAAAAUCGAUACAGUGCCAUCUAGGAACAAUACGAGAAUAUGCUUGGAAUAAAUCGCGCUCGAAUCCAGGGUUUGAAUUCUUCUCUAUAUUCAAGCUAGAUCGUGCUUGCGCGAAUUCUACUUGUUGCUCGGAAACACGUUUCGUGGUCAGCAUUUAUCCGAAGUUUUCUUAAAAGAUUAUUACAGUUUUAAAAAGCCGUUACAUCGUACACGAAGAAAAUGGCAAACUAUCACAAACCAGAAUCGAAAACCAUUCUAGAAUUGAAAGAUAUUGCGACAAAGUUGAGAAUUCAUUCGAUCAAUGCCACACAAGCCAGUAAAUCCGGAGCAGUCGCAUAGUCAACACGUGCACAAUACCAAAAUGCACGCUAUGAAGUAGUUACGUAAUAAACAUACGAUAGUGUUGAAGAAUCAAGAGCAUAUAGAAUAUUGAAAGAGCUGGACAUACCAUAUAAAAUUGUGUACCCUCAAAUAUGAUAAAAACGAUUGCUACAUAGUUUAAGAAUUUGAUUAUUAGUCUAUUAUUCAUCUUUUCACGAUACCUGUAACUUUUAUAAUAAAGUUCAUGGAAUUAUCAAAAA
Molecule: RNA transcript, 4182 nt
Organism: Bombus terrestris (buff-tailed bumblebee)
Lineage: Eukaryota; Metazoa; Arthropoda; Insecta; Hymenoptera; Apidae
Gene name: E3 ubiquitin-protein ligase SIAH1
Exons: 7
Source: RefSeq, a predicted model, not a curated record